GCUCGGCGAAUUCCGACUGGCAUUAGAUUUCGGUCUCCCGUCCCAGCUCCUCGGAUGCUCGGCGUCGGUCUUUCCAAGGCGGUUCUCGCCAUCGUGAGCCUCUUACGAGCUUCUGGCUAGUAUUCAGUGGUAUGCUAUUCACUCAUUUUUUGUACUUCUCCUCCUUGUUGUGGUUGCUGCUUCUGCUAUAUGUUAUUUUCUUGGUUAGAUGUCAUCACUUGGCUUCAGAGGAUCUGUUCGGCUUCAAGAAUUUUAGAUUGAAAGAACUAGGCCUUUAGUUUGAAGCCUGAAGUCGAGUUAUGUUUCAACUGGCGUGUGGAAGAAAGGGGCUGUGGCUUUAAUCUGAUGGAAUCUUUAGGAAUCUGUGAGGAGAACAGGGGCUGGACACCCUGUACUGUUGGCUUGCAAUUAUAAGAUUUUGGUGUCUUCUAAAUUGGAUAUAAGUUGGGUUACAAGGGAGCCGGAAUCAUUAAUGAAAUAUCUUUUUUAGCCGUUUGACAAGUUACCUACUUUUGUACAAAAUCUGGGGGCGUUUUGAUUCUCCUUCUCUUGCAACGCCUUCUCUCGGACCAUGAAGAAAUCUUUUCUUGUUGAACAAAUUAACCACUCAAUGCAAGGAAUUUUGACAGAUGGUACAAAGAAUUCAUCAUUUUAGUUCUGCUGCAGAGAAUCAAUUUUGUUGCAUUUUAAGGUCAAUGGAAAAUAAUCAUUUCUCAUGGUAUCUUGAUAUACAUUUUAAUCAUUUAGCUUUUCAUAUAACUAAUCUGUCCUUCAAGUUUAUCAUCUCUCCCUCACUCUUUCUUUUUAAUUUUUCAUCUUUCUCAUUGUUCUUUAUUCCACAAUCUUUUGAUACCAGGACAUCUACAACCAUGUCCAGAUUUUUGAUAGUUUAUUUCUUCACUUGGAUUAUAAAAUAGUUGGUUGCUUGGAGGUGUGCAUUAUCCAUGAUACAGGACAGGGAAUUAGCAGCGAUGAAGAUGGAAGCGAUAGGGAUGAAGACGCUGAUUCAAGGGGUUGAUCAUGAUGGAAACCCAACCAUGGAGUGCUGGAUUAAGAGUCCUUUUUGCAUUUGAGUUCUGGUUUAGCCAAGUCAAAAGUCCUUCUAAUAUUUUGUUCCUAAAUUAAGUCAGGAUUAGCAUCUUUGUUUGAUUAAGUUUCUGAGUUACGAGUCCUUGUUGGUUUAGCCUUAAGAUUUAGUUUUUCUUUGAGUUCGUUUGCGAUGAGUUACGGUGUGUGCGAUCCUAUAUAAGGAAUCGCAAGGAGGGCUCGUUCCUUCUUCUGCUUGGUCUUUGUUUUUUCAGCCAUCAAUGAAUGAAAAUUAUGCUNNNNNNNNNNNNNNNNNNNNNNNNNNNCAUGCUCUGUUUCUGGUUCAGCAAACAGAGUUUUACUUGAUUUUUGCAGUGUCUAUUUGGUUCUGAGUUUCCCUCAGACCCAGCAGCAUUGUGAACUCCUUUUCUCCACGCUCCAGCCGCAUCAUUUGGUAUCAGAGCGAGGAUUUCCCUGGUUUGAUGGCAAAUGAUAGUGUGGCAAGUGUGCAUCCCAGCGACGGCAAACCUAGAGUGCCCGCUGGGCACCUAUUCGUGGCUUGCAAGGAGUCGUCCGUGACAUCCAACAGGUGCUCCAAGGCAUGCAAAUCGACCCCAACCGGGAGCGCGUGCAGGCUCAUGAGGAUCUCCAUCACGGUCCACCGGCACCGACGUGAGAUCCACCUCACCGGCGUCGCCAACAAGUUCCUCCGGAGUCUUCCAACGAGGAAGAAGAUGACGCGGUCUGUGGGGCAUUUGGUGGACUGCGUCUACACCUAGGUGAAUACGAAUUUGAUGGGAGCGACCGAAUCAGAAGAGCCUUCGAUUGUCGCUUUCCAGAUGGAGGAGCGGCUGACGAAGGAUUUAGCGGGCUACGUCCAUGGAGGAACAGGCCGGAGGCGUUUGACUGCAGGCUUCACGUUGGAGGUGCGGCCUUUGACCGCCGAAUCCCUGUUGAAGAGGGCAUUUUCGAGGAAGCCAACGAGUUACGUGCAUGGAGAGGAGACCCUACAGGCUAUAGGCAUGAAGGGUGCCAAUUUCCAGAGGGAGGAGUGCCCGACGAAGUUCUCGGUGGGUUGCGACCACAGCGGAACAGGGACCAUGCGGGCUUCAGGUGGAACGCAGAACCUGUAGCGUACGGGGUCAAUUGGGGCGCUCGGAACAAGGGCUUCCCUGAUUUCAGACUGAAGGUGGAUCUUCCUACCUUCAGUAGCAAUCUUCACAUUGAGGGAAUUUUGGAUUGGUUGGCCAAAGUAGAAAAAUUCUUCGAUUACAUGGAGAUCCCGGAUCAAAAGAAAGUGAAGUUGGUCACGUACAAAUUGAGAGGUGGAGCAACUGAAUGGUGGGAUCAAUUGCAAUAUAACCGUCUACAGCAAGGGAAGAUGCAGAUCACCACUUGGCGUAAGAUGAAGCAACAUCUAUGCGGCCGUUUCCUCCCGCCUGACUACAAGCAGGCACUCUACCAUUAGUACCAGAAUUUCCGAUAGAGCCCCCGGAUGGUGACCUAUGAAUUCAACCGUCUCAAUGCCUGCAACAACCUGUCGGAAACAGAAAAUCAGCAAGUGGCGAAGUACAUCGGUGGAUUGAAGCCGACAAUUCGAGAUCAUGUGGAUUUAUUUCCGGUGUGGAGCCAGUUGGAAGCCACAAAUUUGGCCCUAAAGCUCGAGGCACAAGCAGCAUGGAAGGCAAACCAGCCCACAAAUCGACAGUUUUCUCGAACUCCCCCAUAGCAAAGCAGAAGGCCGUUGAUGUGGCUGGCACUUCGGGCCAACCGCCACCAAUGUCCACAACCAGAAGAAAUGAAAAUUUCAGCAAAUAGUCGACGGCCCCAAAAGGUAAUAAAAAUCCCCUAUGAAAAGCCAAUGCCUAUAAAAUGUUACAGGUGUUAGGAGGUUGGGCAUCAGUCCAACGAAUGUCCGAAGAGGCGAUCAGUCAACGUGGUCGAAGCUGUGGAAGAAGAAGGGGUGCCUUUUGAGGAGGAAGAACAAGAGGAGGCGCCGACCGACGGCGACAACAUCGUGGUGACAAUGCUUGAUCAGGGGCCUCCAGCUUCUUUCGUGGUUCAAUAUAUCCUGUUUGUCCUAAAGAGUGAAGAAGAGUCGCUACGCCACAAUAUCUUCAAGAUCCGUUGUACCGUCAACAAAAUUGUGUGUAAUGUGAUUAUUGACAGCGGCAGCAACGAGAAUAUUGUUUCUUCCGCAUUGGUUCAUGCGAUGGGAUUGAAGACAGAGAGGCAUCCAUCUCCCUACAAGAUUGGUUGGAUUAAAAAAGGGACGAAAAGGAGAGUGGACAAGAUUUGUAGAGUGCCACUAUCGAUCGGGCAAUACUACAGGGAUGAGGUUUUGUGUGAUGUGGCCGAAAUGGACGCAUACCAUAUUCUACUUGGGCGUCCCUAGCAGCAUGAUACGGAUGUUACAUAUGGGGGUCGAGAUAAUACUUAUUUGUUUCAUUGGCAGGGUAAGACGAUCCUACUAGUGCCAGGUAAUGAAAGCACUACUCCCAAAGCUUCUAAAGUGGAGGGAAAGUCUUUUCUCAUUGUGCCAGAGAAGAUAGAUGAAUUGAUCGAGAAGCAGCUAUAUCCAAACAUUAACUCGAGAAUGAGUUGUUUUCAAGUGGAGGGGACUGAUGCAGGAUAGAGAAUAAGCAGUGAUGAAGAUGGAAGUGAUAGGGAUGAAGAUGCUGAUCCAGGAGGUUGAUCAUGAUGGAAACCCAACCAUGGAGUGCUGGAUUAAGAGUCCUUUUUGCAUUUGAGUUUUGGUUUAGCCAAGUCAAGAGUCCUUCUUAUAUUUUGUUCCUAAAUUAAGUCAGGAUUAGCAUCUUUGUUUGAUUAAGUUUCUGAGUUACGAGUCCUUGUUGGUUUAGCCUUAAGAGUUAGUUUUUCUUUGAGUUGUUUGCGAUGAGUUACAGUGUGUGCGAUCCUAUAUAAGGAAUCGCAAGGAGGGCUUGUUCCUUCUUCUGCUUGGUCUUUGUUUUUUCAGCCGUCAAUGAAUGAAAAUUAUGCUUGAGAGUUGCAGCGUUAAUCUCCUACUUCAUGCUCGGUUUCUGGUUCAGCAAACAGAGUUUUACUUGAUUUUUGCAGUGCCUAUUUGGUUCUGAGUUUCCCUCAGACCCAGCAGCAUUGUGAACUCCUUUAUAUUCUCCACGCUCCAGCCGCAUCAAUCCAUAAUCAAGUUUCGAUCUUGAAGCUUUAAGUAUCUGCGGGAUGUCGUGAAUAAACAGAUGGGCUUGAAAAAUCUAAUCCUGUUUGCACCAUUAUGAAAUUAGAGAAACUCCAAGUGCGCUUUGCAGGAGUGUUUGACAAGAGGAAAAAGAUAAGAGAACCAUAUUUUGAACUUGUUGCACUGAGAGGCUCAUUGCGAUUGAAUUGUAUUUGAGACAACCUGAUCUUUUUCUUAAUAUUCCCUAUCUUGAGAUAUUUUGUUCUGGAUAAAGUAAUUAAAAGGUAUUCUUUUAUUUAUUUAUGUUUAAAUAUUUUUUGCAUAUUGUGAAUGUUGCUUUAUAUUAUUGGGGGUAAAUUUCCAUGUAUUUGGUAGAUGCUGUCGACAUACUUGACAUUAAGGACAGGAGUUGGUGUAACUAUGGGGCAUAUCAUUGAUUAAUUCUCUUUUCUUUUCUUUUCUUUUCUUUUAUUUAAGAAUAAUGCUUUCACCACAACCUUUCUAAGUCUAACCGGAAAAGUAUACUCAGCUCCAGCAACAUGGAGAGAGGUGCCAACUGGUAGACUGGAGAUCCUUUGCACAUAAUCAUUUAUCUGUCAUGAUCUACUCUCUCUCUCUCUCUCUCUCUGACUUCUUGCAUGACAACUUUAUAAGCUUUUGUAAUGCAACUUAAACUCUCACUACAGGAAAAUAGGGUUAUAGCAAUGGCUUUUAUAGUGGCAAAAACAAUUUCCUCUAGAAAAUCAUGCAGACCUAUAGCGGCAAAAGAUGUGGCUACUUAAACUCAUUCUAUUUAACAGAAGCACUUUUUUUGUGUGGAGUCAUAGUACAUAUAUUGCUGCUAAAAAUUCAACUAUGGUGGCUCACAAGCCUACUCUUUUUUCUUUUUGGGCUGCUAAUCUGUCAUGAUAAUUAUUUAGUGUCUAUUUUAUGACUUUCAGCAUAACUUUUAUGUUGCUGAAAGCCUAUAUUAUUAUAGUGUUUAGGAAUUCAACUUUUUUACAUUUAUUUAUUUAAUCCAGCCAUGUGUAUCCUACUUCUUCAAGAUCGGUGUGUUUGUAUCGUGUACGUGUAUAUAUCCUAUGUCCUUGCUUCAUUGUUUAUGACAAUCUAUGCCAUGAAUACCAACAUCUUUCUACCAAAAAUGUUACAAAAUACAAAAGUACUGUGUAUACACUGAUUAACCUGAUCAUUGCUCUCAUGCCUUUGGUGCCAAUUAUCACGCAUGGAAGAAAUGACCUUUAAAGCUUUACCAUGUGAGAGCUACUCGGUGAUCGUCUCUUAUCAAAAGAAAAGUCAAUAGAAAGAUAACUAGCUCCUUGGUUGGACUCAAUGUCAUGCGGCUGUUUCUGCUCUGUUGUAUCACCAAAUACUUGCAUCUCUCUUCCUCCAUCUACUUGUCCUUGUUGCAUGUGGUGGAACGAAGCUCCACUGAUUGUGUGGUGGGAUAGUGAUGGUGUCCCUUCUAGAUCAAACUGUUCAUCAUAUAUAGUAGAUCGCCUCGGGGAAGCUUGGAGGCUGUCCACCUCACUCCUAUAGUGUCGUAAGAGGUGUACUGGUGAUAAGCCAUGGGUUGGGGUUGCUGGCCUACUUGUAGACAAAGGUGUCACACUGCUAGACCGUCGGCUCUCUUUCAAGUGCUUUCUUGCUGUAUCAUGCCAUUUCCUUAGAGCAGUUGCCACUCUCUCACUGAAGAUGGUAGGCUUCAUGUUGGACCCCAUCUGUACGUAAGGAGACACCAUAUAGGAUAAGUAAUUGUUGAUCAGUUGAAGGUUCUUCUAUGUUCUUUAAGUAUGGAAAUGUACCUGCGUUACCAGUGCAUAGAGAGGUAGUGUGACAUAGCUACAUAAUACCUGUAUGAGGACACUGAUAAAACAAUGAGAGUUAGAGUUGUAGAGCUGCUAAUUUGUUGAUUAACUAAUGAUGAGGUUAUAAAAAAUCACCUGACCUCUCUCAGAAGAGAAAAAGAAGGAAAGAUAAAAUCUAUCAUUUGGACAAUUGUAAUGGAAAUUGAUAUAUGAUCUAUUUUGUUGGGUAUAUGUUAACCUAAUAUGCUGUAUUUUUUCCUAUAUGAAAGUUAGAAUGAAGAAUUUACAGGAUGAAAAAUUUUGUUUCUUUAUCUGAAAACAGAAAGAGUAUGAUGAGAAAACCAUUUUGCCAUUCACCAUAAGAAAUUCAGCAAAAGCCUUUCGAUGUGUGAGUGGCUUUUUCAUUAGACUUUACUGCUUUACUCUUGUACAAUUACUUCUAGAGAAAUCUUUAGUAAAUAAUUGAAUUGCGCAAAUUGAUCAGCUAGUUCACUCACAUAUUCUAAAAAUUAUGCAUAACUGUGUUGCUUUAAUAACUCUAUAAAGCUAUCAGAAAUAGAGUAGGAAGACUAACCCCAUGGAGAUUCUGAUGAUGAUGUCUUCUAUAUUCUUGUGGAAGCAUGAAGGGAGGCCAAAUUCGGACUGCAAAUGGUUUACAUCGGAAUGAGCUCUUCUUCUUUAUAGUGUUGUAAAGCUUGUGUGAAAUUUUAAUUUGUUAUUUAGAGGUAUAAAAAGGGAUUGUUUGAAUUUCUAUAUGCAUAGGCAUGCAUGUCUGUGUGUGUAGAGAGAGAGAGAGAGAGAGAGAGAGAGAGUAGNNNNNNNNNNNNNNNNNNNNNNNNNNNNNNNNNNNNUCAUUGUCUUACCCAGCUCCAAGCAAAAAACGCAAGUUGAAAUGCAUUCUGCAAGAAAAACAUGCAAACACUGUUGAUUACAUGCUACAAUUCCUGCUGACUAGUGGAAAUGUUUGAUUAAGGUACAUCAUCUCUUGGAGGUUUCGAUUAUUGGACGUAAGAAAGAAAGGAGCACUGCAUCUUUUAAGUUGCAAUUUGAGAAAAAUUACCUGAAAAAGGACAAAAUGUAUGAGAUGGAGUAGGAGGCCAGGACGGUUGAACCAGAAGAGAUCAUCUGUGGGCUGGACGACAGGGAUACCCUUCACGACAUCUCCACGCUCCAUAAUACGUAUAGCCAUCUUUGUUAUUAUCACCUGAAGUUUUGUUCCCACUAGGAGAAUUAUCUGCAAAUAUUCUUACUCUCUUAGCUACUUUCUCUUUGACAGAUAACAAGAUUAAGCCAGUUAGCUUCAACUGUUUUGUUACUGACUAACAAUCAGAGUAAGAUUAUAGAUGUGGUCUGAUCUUUGUUAUUUUACAUGGAGCACUCGGUGCUUAAAUCUUUAGAAGAAGACUAAGAUUCGAGCCAUAAAGAAUGGAUUAUUAAAAAACCAAUUUACAAUAAACAAGUAAUGAACUGUGAUCUCAGGAUCUUAAUUGUUCAUGGGUUUGAGACAACUUUUUUUUCCCCUUUCCCUUUGACCUUUUCUAUGCAACAACUAGAAUAAGAAUUCAAACAUUCACUGGUUUUAUAAAAUACAGCGGAUGUGUUUCUAAACUAAAAGAAGUUAACUUUACAAAAAAUAUGGUCACAUGAACUUACAAUCAAAGGGAUGAAUGGUAGCCACAAAUAGGAGUGCCAGUCUGCCCAACAAAAAUAUGCAUUUAAUAUCUCCAAAGCAUAUGCUAAUAUUAGGAAGAGGUAGUGGCAUAAUUUGCAUACCGUGAGUGUUGAGUAGCAGAAAUAUUACUGCAGAGAACCAUAUUGUUGGGCUGGAAAUUUUAGAAAAUAAGUCAUUAGUAGAACAAGGGAGAGAUUCUCUUAAGAAUGGUCUUAAAAUAAUAUUUGCAGAUUAAAUUUUAAAGUUGUUUAUGUAUUGAAUUUGAUUGUUAUAAGAGAAAAUCAAAGAUACCAAAUUAAUAGGGGACAUGUCCUAGGCAAAUCCCAUUUUGUAGCAUGUUUUAGAAGAAACGCUAGUUAAAUCAUUAUAACAAUGCUUAUAUGUUACCACACAUGUUAUUGUCCAUUCUAGGCAAUCAGUUAACAUAAUGUACGCAGGGAUCUUAGAGGCAUUUUGAGAGAUAAUGUAUCUAGGGUUUAUCAUGUGAGAAUGUAAGUGUUUAUUCUGGCCUUAGGGUGUCCAGUUCAUGUGUCUUCUUCUGUUGUAGGUCUAGGAAGCAGUUCUACUAUGAACCAGGUUACUAAAACCUUAAAUAAUAGCAUCCUUGCGUAUAUAAAUGAUCAGUAUACCUUAUCCCAACAACAACUUUGAAAUCUUCUUCAAGUGAUCUCUUAAUAUAUUUCUGAAAGUUAAACUUUGUCGAGCUUUGGGGAGCCAAAUGAGCCUGAAAGUAUGCAAGUUUUCAGCUCAGUGAUCAAAUAUAUUUCUUUGUAGUUAAUAAGGAAUCUAACAAUUACUUACCAUUAUGAAGCCAUGUCGUAGCGUCAAGUAGUCAACUUUAGGAACUGAUCUCAGAAACUGUCUGAAGAAGCAUACCUGCUCAGAAAAAAAAAUUAUCCUUGUUUGACAAAAUGGAAAUAAAAAACUCUUUAAUUUUCAGUGGUUCCUUGGCUAGCUAUUUCUCAUAAUUAUGAUAUUGUAAGUGUGAAUUCAAUAAGACAACAAUACGCUGAUUUCUGAAGAAAUGAUCCUUACAAUCCAAAUGAGAAUGGGCGAUUUGCUCCAGAAGUCUAAAUGCCGACGGCCGAAAGAUGUAUCUCUUGCAAAUCUAAACCUGUCAGGAUCUACCAAACCAUUUCCACAACAAUAUUGCACUCAUCAAUACAUUGGUGCCCACAUAAUAUGCAUGCUUUUGAUUGAUUAGCUGAUUCAUAUUUGAACUUACCAUGUGAAAAUUGAUAUUCAAUUGUUUUAGUUUCCAAUUCCCAGCCUUUCCAGCGUCUCAUCUGUUUCAUAGGCACCCCGUAAACAUUAACUAUUGCAUUCCCUUCUGCCAGAAAUAUAUGACUUGAAGUAAUUAUUGUAACAAUAUAUUAAACAUCUCCUUGCCUUUAGUCUGCCUAAAGCCAUUGUAAUUAUGCAGUAGAGUACAUGGGAGACGGCCAAGACGAAGAUAAACAUGUGGAGCUGGUGGAUACCCUUGGAGGAAAUGAAUGGAACUUUAUCCUGCAAAUUUG
RNAcentral lists this long non-coding RNA (9180 nucleotides) under Phoenix dactylifera (date palm). RNAcentral describes it as "long non-coding RNA (PDAC_LNC002874)". The record is from RNAcentral. Lineage: Eukaryota; Viridiplantae; Streptophyta; Magnoliopsida; Arecales; Arecaceae.